Capra hircus (goat) is the source of this 1146-nucleotide RNA transcript. It is a transcript of the gene named pregnancy-associated glycoprotein 1-like, with no coding region annotated. The record is from RefSeq and is a predicted model, not a curated record. Lineage: Eukaryota; Metazoa; Chordata; Mammalia; Artiodactyla; Bovidae. The transcript has 9 exons.
AUGAAGUGCCUUGUGCACUUUAGGCUGGUAGCCUUCUCAAAUUGCAUAUUCGGUGAAAGAAUGCCUCUAAAGAAAGUGAAGACCACAAGAAAUACCUUCAGUGAAAAAAACAUGCUGAACAAUUUCCUGAAGGAACGUGCUUACAGACUGUCUCAGAUUUCUUCUCAUGGCUCAAAUAAAAUUAUUCACCCCCUGAGGAACAUCAUGGAUUUGGUCUACAUGAGUAACAUCACCACUGGAACAGCCCCUCAAGAAUUCCAGGUUGCCUUUGACACAGCCGCUUCUGACUUGUGGGUGUCCUCCACCUUUUGCAUCAGUCCAGCCUGUUCUACACAUGUUAGGUUCAGACAUCUUCAGUUUUCCACCUUCUGGCCUACCAAAAAGACCUUCAGCAUCAACUAUGGAUCUGGGAGAAUGAAAGGAGUUGUUGCUUAUGACACAGUUCGGAUUGGGGACCUUGUAAGUACUGACCAGCCAUUUGGUCUAAGCGUGGCAGAAUACGGGUUUGAAGGGAGAACUUAUGAUGGUGUCUUGGGCUUGAACUAUCCCAACAAAUCCUUCUCUGGAGCCAUCCCCAUCUUUGACAAGCUGAAGAAUCAAGGUGCCAUUCCUGAGCCUGUUUUUCCCUUCUACUUGAGCAAAGACAAGCAGGAGGGCAGUGUGGUGAUGUUUGGUGGGGUGGACCACCGCUACUACAAGGGAAAGCUCAACUGGGUACCAUUGAUCGAAGCAAGUGACUGGAGUAUACACAUAGACCGCAUGUCUGUGAAAAGAAAGGUUAUUGCUUCUGACAGCUGUGAGGCCCUUGUGGACACUGGGACAUCAUAUAUUGAAGGCCCAGGAAGACUGGUCAAUAACAUACAGAAGGCCAUCGGUGCCAGGCUAUGGGGUUCCAAGCACUACGUUUAUUGUUCGGUGGUCAAUUCCCUUCCCUCUGUUAUCUUCACCAUCAAUGGCGUCAAAUACCCAGUGCCAGUUUGACCCUACAUUCUCAAGGAUUCUAGAGGCCACUGCUAUACCACCUUUAAAGAGAGCAAAUUGAGUCCAUCUACAAAUAUCUGGAUCCUGGGUGACGUCUUCCUGAGGCAGUACUUCUUGGUUUAUGAUCGAGGAAACGACAGGAUUGGCCUGGCACAGGCAGUGUAA